This 117-nucleotide ribosomal RNA is filed under the name uncultured Geothermobacter sp. RNAcentral's name for it is "partial 16S ribosomal RNA". It matches the Rfam family "Bacterial small subunit ribosomal RNA", at positions 355 to 476 of the family's 1533-position model. Lineage: Bacteria; Pseudomonadati; Thermodesulfobacteriota; Desulfuromonadia; Desulfuromonadales; Geothermobacteraceae. The record is from RNAcentral.
UGGGGAAUUUUGCGCAAUGGGGGAAAACCUGACGCAGCAACGCCGCGUGAGUGAGGAAGGCCUUCGGGUCGUAAAGCUCUGUCAGAGGGGAAGAAAAUCGCUGUGGCUAAUAUCCAU